UCAAAUCCUGCCUCCGCCACUGUUUUCAAUCUGUGAAUUUAUGGGUUAUUACCAUGACUGUGAUGUGAUUUUGUGUUGAAAAAUUGAGGGUUUAGGCCCUGUUAUUUCUCUGUGCAUGCAUAACCAGUCCGGUGACGAACUUCGGUGAAAAAAUGUCGAGUUCGAAGCCAGCUUGUACGUACCUUCUCUGGGUUUUGGUUUCGUGUUGGUCUGAGGAUGAAACGUGGACUAUUUUGAGUCCAAAUAUGUGAUUCUAAUCCAUGCAUGCACCCUGUUCUUCUUUUCCAGUUUCCAGUGAGCUGGUUUGAAGGAAAUCGGUCAAAUCCGAGGUGGAUUCGACCCUAUUGCACCUAAAUCCGUUUUAGGUAUGUCCCUGGCCUUUUGGUAGUGUUUUCUACGAAUUUGGAAGGCAAUUUCAUGAAUUUUGGGACUGAAAUCAAGCUCUGCAAGUCUUGGAAACUUUUUGUAGAUUUCAGUGAGGCUCCGGCGUCGGUGAUUGGCAGCAGACGACAGUCGUCGUUAUGAUUAAUGGUGACAUCAGCAAAUCCGUUAUCACUUAAACUCUAACCGACAACUGACGCGUGGCAACAACGAUGGCAAGUGCGGCUCCUAUAUGGCGGCGAGUACAGCAACACGUUUACCGGUAACGGCGACCCGAUAGGGGCGCGUGACAUCAUAGCGCCAGCUCGUGGUGACGCGUGGUUGGAGCAUGGCAGUGCGUGCUUAGUAGAGAUUAAAAAGGAUUCACGCAAGGAGCCUAAUGAUGAAUGACGCUUUGCUUGCCAGUACUUAUAUUUUCAAAAAAGGCUAGAUUCACUAGUAGACGCUAGUCAUCAAUCAGGAUAUAGCAAGAACAAGGAUAAUCCAGGAAGUGGCGAGUGGGCUUGGUAGUGAGACCUUCACCUUCAGAUUUUGGUGAUAACUCUCUUAUUGCAGUUUACUUUAGUUUGUAAUAAUUGCAUGAUCAUACUUUCGAUUAUGCAUGAUAUUGCACUACUUUGUGUUUACUGUUGUAUGAAACUACUACCAGAUAUGGUAUGUUGUGAUAAUAAUGAGAUUGUAUCACUCAACAUGUGUCCCCAAGUGUUUUUUUUUG
Pyrus x bretschneideri (Chinese white pear) is the source of this 1096-nucleotide long non-coding RNA. RefSeq lists it as uncharacterized. The transcript has 4 exons. NCBI's taxonomy places the organism in Eukaryota, Viridiplantae, Streptophyta, Magnoliopsida, Rosales, Rosaceae. The record is from RefSeq and is a predicted model, not a curated record.